CCUGAUAAUAGUUUUUUGAAGGAGGGUUAGACAAUAAAAAUUUUUUAAAGGAAGAAUAAGAAAUCUUCUGGAGUCUUAUAGUAAAAACACAACUGAGUUAACUGUUAGGAUUUUUUAUUUCCUCACACUUUUUUUUCUAUAUAAUCACCCCCCCCCCCACACACACACACACACUCUUUUUGUAUAGAUUUAAAUUAUUAUAUAUCAGCAUUUGCCAGCAAGAAUUCCACAGCAUCAGUUCCCUGGGUUCUAACAGGUAUUACAUAGAAGCAGUGUACCUCAAGGUGAAGAGGAGUUGGAGUCAUCCCAUCCUGGUUCAAACUCUAGCUCUGCCACUUACCAGCUUCAUGACCUUGGGGAAGGUAUUUAACCAUUUUCUGCUGUAGUGUAUUCAUCUGUAACAUGGGAAUAAUAAUUGUACCUAUCUCAUAUAGUUGUUGUGAGGAUUAAGUAAAUUAAUUUAGUAAAUAAGCACAUAGACUAGUAGUGCCUGACAGUGCAUAGUCUGCAAGUGUUGUUUAUUAAAUAAGAAAAGGGCUCUCUGCUUAGAGUUGGGGAAAUCAGAGCCAAAGUUAAGCUAGGUGUGUUUGCUAAAAGACCCCUUAAUCUUUGAUAUUAUAAUGCAGUUAAUUUUUUAGAGCGACUUAAAUUAUGUGAAACUUUAUUUAACCAUGCAGAUCUUUUUGGAACAGGUAUCUCACAGGGCUAAUAUUAUUUUUCUUUUUGAGAAACCUAAAUAUUUUUAUUUUAAAGUCAGUUGGACUCUUCUAUUAUUUUACUCAAGAGUGAAUUCAUUUUGGGUUGUUGAUUUUAACUUUGGCAUUGGGUUUGGAACUCAGGGUAUUUUUAAGAGAAAUCAGUUCAAAGUGGACAAUUAGGUACAAUACCUGUGCUCUUGUUUAAUAGUAUGCUGUCUUUCAGAUUAGCCCAGAGUUGACAACUACUUUACCUUAUGUCUUCAUGGAAAGAUUGCUCAAUUGGCAAUUACAGGAUAAAUUUCCAUGCGUUGUACUUCCACUUUCAUCUCACAUUCAGUCUAAUAAAAUGUUUGUAGAAUUAUAUGGCUUUAUGUUCUCUUCUAGUGUACAUAUAUCUAUGAAAAUAUGUAAGUCUCUGUAAAAAUGAGCAAUUCUACUAGGCUAUUAUUCUGUCAGCAACUCUGGCUAAUGCAGUUUCCAUUAAAAGAGAUUUUAACAGAAGUAUUUCUUUGAUGUAUAAUUUUAAGGCACUUUCCCAUAACUAUAAUGUUAGCAUCAUUUGAUGACAUAUAUGGUCCAAUUUAGUGUGAAGCAGAUUGUACCUUCUAAAAGAAUUACUGCUUUCAAUUCAUACUUGUUUUAAAUUGCAUUGAAAUAAAAAGUGGCAUAUAUUUUUUUUCAUCUCUUCCAAUGGAAGAAAGUAUGUUUUCU
This 1409-nucleotide long non-coding RNA is filed under the name Marmota monax (woodchuck). Lineage: Eukaryota; Metazoa; Chordata; Mammalia; Rodentia; Sciuridae. The record is from RNAcentral.